UACGGGGGGUGCAAACGUUGCUCGGAAUUAUUGGGCGUAAAGCGCACGUAGGCGGUCCUCUAAGUCGGGUGUGAAAGCCCGGGGCUUAACCCCGGAAGUGCACUCGAAACUGGAGGGCUUGAGUAUGGAAGAGGGUCUCGGAAUUCCCGGUGUAGAGGUGAAAUUCGUAGAUAUCGGGAGGAACACCAGUGGCGAAGGCGGAGACCUGGGCCAAUACUGACGCUGAGGUGCGAAAGCGUGGGGAGCAAACAGG
RNAcentral lists this ribosomal RNA (253 nucleotides) under uncultured bacterium. Its description in RNAcentral is "partial 16S ribosomal RNA". It matches the Rfam family "Bacterial small subunit ribosomal RNA", at positions 524 to 776 of the family's 1533-position model. The record is from RNAcentral.